RNAcentral lists this small RNA (221 nucleotides) under Chouioia cunea. RNAcentral describes it as "other". The record is from RNAcentral. Lineage: Eukaryota; Metazoa; Arthropoda; Insecta; Hymenoptera; Eulophidae.
AUAAUUUAAAUGAUUUAUUAUCUAAUAUCAUCAAAACUUCAAUUUUAUUCAUUUUUAGUUUAAUUUAUUCAAUUAAUGAAUAAUUAUUUUUAUUGAUAAUAUUUAUAUAAUAAAUUAUUUAUAUAAUAUCUUUAUAUUAUAUAUUUAAAUGAUUUAUUAUCUAAUAUCAUCAAAACUUCAAUUUUAUUCAUUUUUAGUUUAAUUUAUUCAAUUUAAAAAUA